UCCCUGGUGGUCCAGUGGUUAGGGCUCUGUACUGCCACUGCAGGGAGCACGGGUUCAAGCCCUGCUUGGGGAG
This 73-nucleotide transfer RNA is filed under the name Bos taurus (domestic cattle). It matches the Rfam family "tRNA". From Rfam's summary of the family: Transfer RNA (tRNA) molecules are approximately 80 nucleotides in length. Their secondary structure includes four short double-helical elements and three loops (D, anti-codon, and T loops). Further hydrogen bonds mediate the characteristic L-shaped molecular structure. tRNAs have two regions of fundamental functional importance: the anti-codon, which is responsible for specific mRNA codon recognition, and the 3' end, to which the tRNAs corresponding amino acid is attached (by aminoacyl-tRNA synthetases). tRNAs cope with the degeneracy of the genetic code in two manners: having more than one tRNA (with a specific anti-codon) for a particular amino acid; and 'wobble' base-pairing, i.e. permitting non-standard base-pairing at the 3rd anti-codon position. The record is from Rfam by way of RNAcentral. Lineage: Eukaryota; Metazoa; Chordata; Mammalia; Artiodactyla; Bovidae.